GUUCCUGUAGUUAAAUUGAGCUAACGAUGGUUUUUCAAGCCAUAGAUCUUGGGUAAGGGCCAAGCGGGAAUU
This 72-nucleotide transfer RNA is filed under the name Rhagologus leucostigma. RNAcentral's name for it is "tRNA-Glu". It matches the Rfam family "tRNA". From Rfam's summary of the family: Transfer RNA (tRNA) molecules are approximately 80 nucleotides in length. Their secondary structure includes four short double-helical elements and three loops (D, anti-codon, and T loops). The record is from RNAcentral. Lineage: Eukaryota; Metazoa; Chordata; Aves; Passeriformes.